Molecule: ribosomal RNA, 461 nt
Filed under: uncultured bacterium
Lineage: Bacteria
Description: partial 16S ribosomal RNA
Rfam family: Bacterial small subunit ribosomal RNA
Source: RNAcentral
ACGAACGCUGGCGGCGUGCUUAACACAUGCAAGUCGAGCGGAAAGGCCCUUCGGGGUACUCGAGCGGCGAACGGGUGAGUCACACGUGAGUAACCUGCCCCAGACUUUGGGAUAACCCUCGGAAACGGGGGCUAAUACCGGAUACGACACAGCUUCGCAUGGGGUCUGUGUGGAAAGUUUUUCGGUUUGGGAUGGGCUCGCGGCCUAUCAGCUUGUUGGUGGGGUGAUGGCCUACCAAGGCGACGACGGGUAGCCGGCCUGAGAGGGCGACCGGCCACACUGGGACUGAGACACGGCCCAGACUCCUACGGGAGGCAGCAGUGGGGAAUAUUGCACAAUGGGCGGAAGCCUGAUGCAGCGACGCCGCGUGAGGGAUGACGGCCUUCGGGUUGUAAACCUCUUUCAGCAGGGACGAAGCGUAAGUGACGGUACCUGCAGAAGAAGCGCCGGCCAACUACGUG